CCCCUAGAUGUUCUGGGCCGCACGCGCGCUACACUGAACAGUUCAACAAGUCUUAACCUUGGCCGAUAGGUCUGGGUAAUCUUUGAACGCUGUUCGUGAUUGGGAUAGACCUUUGCAAUUAUGGGUCUUCAACGAGGAAUUCCUAGUAAACGCAGUUCAUCAGACUGCAUUGAUUACGUCCCUGCCCUUUGUACACACCGCCCGUCGCACCUACCGAUUGAAUGGUCCGGUGAGAAUUUUGGAUUGAUGUUUCGUCGGGUUAACGCCAGACUUUACGUUGAGAAGUUAUUCAAACCUUACCAUUUAGAGGAAGGUGAAGUCGUAACA
This 327-nucleotide ribosomal RNA is filed under the name uncultured eukaryote. RNAcentral's name for it is "partial 18S ribosomal RNA". It matches the Rfam family "Eukaryotic small subunit ribosomal RNA", at positions 1470 to 1796 of the family's 1831-position model. The record is from RNAcentral.